Molecule: RNase P RNA, 328 nt
Filed under: Clostridia bacterium
Lineage: Bacteria; Bacillati; Bacillota; Clostridia
Description: RNase P RNA component class A
Rfam family: Bacterial RNase P class A
About the family: Ribonuclease P (RNase P) is a ubiquitous endoribonuclease, found in archaea, bacteria and eukarya as well as chloroplasts and mitochondria. Its best characterised activity is the generation of mature 5'-ends of tRNAs by cleaving the 5'-leader elements of precursor-tRNAs. Cellular RNase Ps are ribonucleoproteins.
Source: RNAcentral
UUAAUUAGACGCUUGCUGUCCGCUUGACGGGCAGAGGAAAGUCUGGGCAUCAAAUGGCAUCAUGCAAGUUAACGGCUUGUCACGGCGACGUGAAGGACAGUGCAACAGAAAGCAAACCGCCCGUACGGGUAAGGGUGAAACGGCGGAGUAAGAGCCCACCGCACUGCAAGUGAUUGUAGUGGCAAUGUAAACCCCAUGAGAUGCAAGGUUAGCGGUUGAGAUUUAAUGGCGGCCAGUCAACUCGACCCAUACACCGCGUGAGCGUAUCGGCAACGGUACGCCAAGAUAGAUAAGCGUCCUCGACAUAACCCAGCUUACAAUUAACUUA